Long non-coding RNA from Ipomoea nil (Japanese morning glory), 109 nucleotides. RefSeq lists it as uncharacterized. NCBI's taxonomy places the organism in Eukaryota, Viridiplantae, Streptophyta, Magnoliopsida, Solanales, Convolvulaceae. The transcript is spliced from 3 exons. The record is from RefSeq and is a predicted model, not a curated record.
CGUAAUGUCUUUUGAGUGUAUUUCCAACACCCUGGGGUUCAAGAAACCAUACGAAAAAGCUAACAUUAGCUUUUGUGUUGCUGGUUGAGUGUUUGGAAUGACAAAUUAU